UCGAGCGAACAGAUAAGGAGCUUGCUCCUUUGACGUUAGCGGCGGACGGGUGAGUAACACGUGGGUAACCUACCUAUAAGACUGGAAUAACUCCGGGAAACCGGGGCUAAUGCCGGAUAACAUUUAGAACCGCAUGGUUCUAAAGUGAAAGAUGGUUUUGCUAUCACUUAUAGAUGGACCCGCGCCGUAUUAGCUAGUUGGUAAGGUAAUGGCUUACCAAGGCAACGAUACGUAGCCGACCUGAGAGGGUGAUCGGCCACACUGGAACUGAGACACGGUCCAGACUCCUACGGGAGGCAGCAGUAGGGAAUCUUCCGCAAUGGGCGAAAGCCUGACGGAGCAACGCCGCGUGAGUGAUGAAGGGUUUCGGCUCGUAAAACUCUGUUAUUAGGGAAGAACAAACGUGUAAGUAACUGUGCACGUCUUGACGGUACCUAAUCAGAAAGCCACGGCUAACUACGUGCCAGCAGCCGCGGUAAUACGUAUGUGGCAAGCGUUAUCCGGAAUUAUUGGGCGUACAGCGCGCGUAGGCGGUUUCUUAUCUCUGAUGUGAAAGCCCACGGCUCACCCGUGGAGGGUCAUUGGAAACUGGGAGACUUGAGUGCAC
Molecule: ribosomal RNA, 607 nt
Filed under: Staphylococcus sp.
Lineage: Bacteria; Bacillati; Bacillota; Bacilli; Caryophanales; Staphylococcaceae
Description: bacterial SSU rRNA
Rfam family: Bacterial small subunit ribosomal RNA
Source: RNAcentral